UCUCCUUCUCCCAAGUGGACAACUAUCAAGCACCCUCCCUAGCAUCAACCGUGUGUUUUGUAAUGCUAAUUCUCUUGCUGACAAACCAGAUUCAGAUGCAUUAGAUAGUGCCACAGGUGUUGAACCUGGUCCAUAUCCGAGGCCCAUUGCAAACUGCAAUGGUCCACUUCGAGCCUUAAGUGAUGUUUGAGAUGCAAGGAGCUUCUCUUCGGUGCCAAUGAGUCCAUAAUCAAAUUGCCCAGGAUCAUUGGGAUGUGAUCCGGGUAAAGAGCUACAGCUGUGUAAGAGGGCUUCCAGCACACUAAGGGCCUCCCAACACAUAGGGCUUUCCACCAACUGAGAUACAAUUGCAUACAAUUGUGGACUCUGAGCAGCAUCCAUAGACGUAUGCUGAAGCAGUGCCUUCAGCAUAAGAAGGAUAACACGCUGAUAUUCCACUGGCCCUUUCUCAAGAAGCCGUAGGAGGUGCCCAAAUGCCAGAGUUGAGUGCUUGGGGAACCAUUCAUGGCAUAGUAAUGGUGAAACACAAGCUAGAAGGUUCUCUACUCGUUUGAUCUCACCACGGGAGUAAGCCAUGAAAACAGUAGCCAGUUCAUCCAUUGAUUUUGAUCGACACCAGACGGCUAUAUUGGCAGCAACAGAGCAAGCCUUUUGAUGUUGCUGCUGUAGUGGUGACAUAAAACCCAGAAAUACAUCCUGGCCGAGCUGUAAGCAGAGCCAGGGAAGCAAGCCAGUGAUGUGCAUCAAUAACCGUGUUUCUGCGUCGCCGAAGAUAGAAUCACAUGAAGGCACUGUAAUCCUUGAUAGAAGCUCAACAGAAGCACCGUGACUGACAGUGGACAUAAGACCUUUAAGAACCAAAGGCUGUACUCCCUCAAAGACUG
Molecule: unclassified non-coding RNA, 884 nt
Filed under: Hevea brasiliensis (rubber tree)
Lineage: Eukaryota; Viridiplantae; Streptophyta; Magnoliopsida; Malpighiales; Euphorbiaceae
Source: RNAcentral